Small RNA from Bacillus infantis NRRL B-14911, 67 nucleotides. It matches the Rfam family "Bacillaceae-1 RNA". NCBI's taxonomy places the organism in Bacteria, Bacillati, Bacillota, Bacilli, Caryophanales, Bacillaceae. The record is from Rfam.
CCUUAAGGAACGCAGACUAAGAACGCCACGUCCUGUGGCAACAUCUGCAUGACCAGCUUCCUGGGGG